UUAAAGAAAACUGCUGUCAAUAAAGA
RNAcentral lists this non-coding RNA (26 nucleotides) under Mus musculus (house mouse). Lineage: Eukaryota; Metazoa; Chordata; Mammalia; Rodentia; Muridae. The record is from RNAcentral.